AAAAAAAAAAAAAAAAAAAAAUAGCCACUCAAGCUAUUGCUCGAGUGGGCUGUGUGUGAUUUACUGAUUAGUGUGCACGUAUCCGCUUACUAAUGUCGCACACUGUGCUGAUAAAAUUAAAAAAAAAAAAGAUUCUUUGUGGGGAUUUUUCUCUUAUUCUUUUCUUUGUUUAAUAACCCUUCGGAUUGGCAAAAUUCUUAAAAGUUUUCAUCAAAUAAACAAGUUGACAAAUGAGAUCAAAAACAUACAAAUAUAUAUACACAGACGGGUAUAUGUAUAUACAUAUCUCAAGUGUUUACACUGAGAGAAACGAAAUUACAAAUGUUGUAUGAGCGUUGAAAUGUCAAAAAUUUAUAUCUUACAGUUACUGCCAGUCGCCAGCUUCAGUAUGGAUUGGUUGGUGCUAAUUAAAUGGCCGCCACUGUGUGCGCCUACACUACGCUCCAUAAAAAAGCGAACGACUCAGAGACAGAGUUGUGUUUGUUGUAAGCGGUUGUAAUAUUGAUAUUUAACAAUUAGUUAUUGUUGGUGUUGGUUUCUUGCUUUUGUUUACGUUUCGUCAUACAUCAUACAUUGUUUGUACAUCGUACAUCAUACAUAAAUAAAUACUUAUAAAUAGUUUGCUUGGUUUCCUUGUUUACCGUCAUGUCUUACAUAGUUUUCGUGUUUUCAUUUGGUAUUCGAAUGCAAAUUCAUAUACAAUACAUAUA
Molecule: long non-coding RNA, 710 nt
Organism: Drosophila arizonae
Lineage: Eukaryota; Metazoa; Arthropoda; Insecta; Diptera; Drosophilidae
Source: RefSeq, a predicted model, not a curated record